This 253-nucleotide ribosomal RNA is filed under the name uncultured bacterium. RNAcentral describes it as "partial 16S ribosomal RNA". It matches the Rfam family "Bacterial small subunit ribosomal RNA", at positions 524 to 776 of the family's 1533-position model. The record is from RNAcentral.
UACGUAGGGUGCAAGCGUUAAUCGGAAUUACUGGGCGUAAAGCGUGCGCAGGCGGUGAUGUAAGACAGAUGUGAAAUCCCCGGGCUCAACCUGGGAACUGCAUUUGUGACUGCAUCGCUAGAGUACGGCAGAGGGGGAUGGAAUUCCGCGUGUAGCAGUGAAAUGCGUAGAUAUCAGGAGGAACACCGAUGGCGAAGGCAGGUCUCUGGGCUGACACUGACGCUCAUGCACGAAAGUGUGGGGAGCAAACAGG